UACGUAGGGGGCGAGCGUUAUCCGGAUUUACUGGGCGUAAAGCGCGUUAAGGCGGAUGGCCAAGUUGGCGGUGAAAUUUCGGGGCUCAACCCCGAAACUGCCGCCAAAACUGGUCGUCUAGAGUAUGGGAGAGGAAGGUGGAAUUCCGGGUGUAGUAGUGAAAUGCGUAGAUAUCCGGAGGAACACCAGCGGCGAAGGCGGCCUUCUGGCCCAUAACUGACGCUGUAGCGCGAAAGCGUGGGGAGCGAACGGGAUUAGAUACCCCGGUAGUCCACGCCCUAAACUUUGUGCACUAGGUGUUGGGUGUAUUGACGCGCUCAGCGCCGUAGCUAACGCAUUAAGUGCACCGCCUGGGGACUACGACCGCAAGGUUAAAACUCA
Molecule: ribosomal RNA, 381 nt
Filed under: uncultured bacterium
Lineage: Bacteria
Description: bacterial SSU rRNA
Rfam family: Bacterial small subunit ribosomal RNA
Source: RNAcentral